GAACAGCUUCUACCCCCAAGCCAUAAGACCGCUAAAUACGGGUUCAAGGACUAAGAGGCAGACUGAGGCCGAGGGCCAGUGCAGGAACGGCUGUCUCUCCCUCGUAGGAGAGAUGAGUGGACUCUCCGGAAUGCCUGGGCCUCCUACCGGUUGGAGCUUAAGGAUUAAGAGGCAGAAGAAAUUCAGGAGAGAAUGCAAGAAAAACCUGGAAAUGUGUCGCUCCCGCCUAGGAUCCUUGACACCCAUGAGUGAUGCUGGGCGCAGUUGGGUAAAACACCACCAAACACCAACCAAAGA
Salvelinus sp. IW2-2015 is the source of this 297-nucleotide non-coding RNA. NCBI's taxonomy places the organism in Eukaryota, Metazoa, Chordata, Actinopteri, Salmoniformes, Salmonidae. The record is from RefSeq and is a predicted model, not a curated record.